UUUCUGAGUGGGGGCAGGACUUUUUCUGGAAAUGGGGUGUUAUGACUUACAGCCAAAGAAGGUAGGUCGGAUAAUUUCUUUAUGGCCACUUUUUACACAGAAAGAUGGAGGGAAAGUUGGAGUAAUGUUUUUAGGUUUUAUGGUUGUCUUUGGGGAAAAGCAGUUCUGGUUUCAAUGGCCUGCCCUAGGGAAGAGGGAGUCUAGUUUCUACAGCUAGCCUCUGGAGAGAAUGGGACUGAGAAGCAGCAGAACAGGAGAAGGUCAGAGAAAAACGUUUACUUGUGAGGUUGCUUCUGAGUCCUUCAUUUUAGGGUCUUGUUUUCUGACCCCAACACAGCAUAGCAUGGAUUCUCAACAAACAUGCAAAUAGAAUAAAACUAUCUCCUUAAAAUCAUCUGCUUAUUUAAUAUUAUGUAACAGAUAGUUAGGAUAAGAUUUUAGAGACUUAAAAUAAUUAUGCAUUUCUUCGGUUGUUAAAGUACUAUUUUUUAGUACUUGUUUUUGAAGUUUCUCAUCUAGAAUAUUUAUUACAUGAGCGUUUAAAUUCUCUGGCUUUUCUACAAAACAAUAACAACAACAAAAAACAUCCUGAUGGGUUAAGGAAGUUAAUAUAGAGUGAAUAUUUUCUUAGAAAUAGAUGCAUAUUCUGCUUAAAUAUCUACAUAAUAACGUCAGUUAGCAAAGGGUAACUUAAAAAAAGUUAUCCUCAAAAUCUCCUGGGCAAUUUUAUUUCUCAUUUAUGUGAAGUCCAAUACAUUUGAUCCUUGUUGUGUGGCCUUUGUACCCAACUAUUUUCCAAGCUCUGAUUAGGGAGACCCCACCUUGUAUUGUGUCUGCUAUUUCUAGGGCCUUGGAGAGAAGAGAGUGUUUUUAAGACUGCUUUUUUGGUCAGCUCUGGGAGUGGCACACCAUUCUGCAACACACAUUCCAUUAGCCAGAAUUGUGUCUUGUGGUCCCAUUCAGAAGCAAAAUGUCUGUAGAAUGUGUUUAAGUAUGUCCAGCAAGCAGAGAAAAACCAAAUAUUGAUAAAUACAAUCAACUUCUAUCACAGUAAUAAAGCAUUACUUUCUUAUUAACAUUUUAUAAAUGUAAAUUAUUUUAUUUUGAGAUCUGUGUUCAAUGUAAAAUUUUUUGAAGGUAUUAUAUUACUUAAUGAGGAACUUAAAGUAAAAUAAUUUAAGUACGGUAAUGCAGACAGUAAAUUUAGACUUAGUAUUUAAAUUCAGCAAGGCCCAUGCUCAAUUCUAGAUCACUAUGUUUAAGGUCUAAUCGUAAAACAGAGCAGCAAUUGCAAUACAGAGUUAAGUAUUUUGGUUGGCAGCAAUACAUAUACUCUAUAUUUACAUGUAAGUUAUUACAGUUUAAAAGUAUGUGGGAAAAUAGGUUCAAAAUAGAUAAAGAUUUUAUAACGUAAGAGAAUGGAGAACUGAAAUAAUUAUUAAGUUUUCUUAAAGGAAAAAUUGCUCUACAUUACUACCUAAGUUUAUCUUCUGUUUCAUUUUGAUAAAAUUUAUGUUAAACAGUCUAAUAAAAUAUUAAAUCACACGUCUUUUUCUUAAAGUUCCUUAAAAUAAUACUCUCGUCUAUGUUAUCAGUAAACAGUCUUAAUAUUGCUGUUCUCCUGAGAUAAUUUUUCUCUAAUUGCUGCUCAUUAUUUAAGGAAACUUUCAAUAUUAGUAAAACAUUGCUCCAAAUCUUUCAUUUAGAGCUAUUAUUAUACCUGUGCUGUUUUUUCUUCUGCCCACGAAGCCUGUCAAAAUGCAAAUUGCUUUCUCUGACCAAAAGUACAGCAGGAGCACAGCCUGGCUGCUUUUUACACAAAACCACCAACAGAUUUGUUAACAGCUGUUCUUGGGGUCUGUGCACGUAAUGGAAACUUCAGAACCUUGCAGGGUUCAUGGUUUCUUCUGUCUGCAGCACAGGAAUCGUUUAACAGUAGGUGACACUUUUGGCAAUGUAUAAUUAAAGGGCUUGUUUUAGCAAAAUUACACCCUGUGUAACACAUAAUAAAAGAUAAGGGGGAAGGAGAGGUAACAGGCCUGGGUAUACAAUUUAGUUUGUAGCAGAGAAUGAGCACAGUUGGGAGCUUGACUAUUUUUGCUGUGAUUCCUGAGGUCAUAUUAAGCAAAACAAAUCACUAUGUUUCUACUUUAUUCAGGUGACAAGUGGAUCGAUAAGAUAAUUAAUAAUAUCUCUUCUUCCCUAUUUGGCUAAUUGAGACGAGGGAAGAUUAUAAACGGGUCUACAACAUGAAAAACCAGAAGUCAUUUAAUUUGAAUGCCAGCAUCACCUCCCCAAGGUUAUUGAUAUUUGAUUUAAAGGGGAAUAAAAGAUGGACAAUUUAAGUGAAUCUGACUUGUAUUGUUCUGAAUCCAUAUGCAUUGAUUCAGAUUUGUGAGAUGUCUUUUCAACAAGGUAGCUUUGGAUCAGUGGGGCUUGCAUAUUUGAUCAUAUUUCUUUCAGAACCUUUCUUAAAUACUCUUCAUUUGUUACCACCAGGCAAAGGCAAAUCUCUAGUUUAGAAAACUUGAUUUUAAAAUAAAUUAGAAAGUAAAGAGAGAAAAGGCAUGUUCCAUUCCUGACAUUUGUAUAUACUAUUACUCAUUGAAAACAUAACAUGGUAAGUUUGUUUCAUAGUCAUUACCUCUACCAUCAUCUGUUACCCCCUUUGAACUACACCGUUAAUUAUCUUUGCCUACUUCUGAAAUGCAUAUACAUAAAAUCUUAUUGUAUGUAACAUUUGAAUAUAGCGUUUUUGCUUAUCAUUAUGUUACUGAGAUUUAUCAGUGUUGUCACACAUAAUUUCAGUUUAUUUUUAUUGACAUGAAGCAUCCUAUAAUAUGAAUAUGCCACACUAUAUUUAAUAUUGAUGGACAUUUUAGUUAUUAUAAAUCAUGAUGAUAUAGUUUUGCAUGUACUUUGAUGGACACAUGCAAGCAUCUUAUUAGGUAAUACAAUAUAUUAUAGAAUUGCUACUUUAUAAAAUAUAUGUAUGUUUAGCUUCAGUAAAUACUGCCAAAUAAUUGUCUAAAGGGAUUGUUCCAAGUCACAUUCCUGCCAUCAAUAUAUGAGAGUUCCAUAUCCUCACCAACACUUGGAAAUAUUAGUAUUUUAUUAUAUUUUAGUUAUUCCAGUAAGUAUACAGUGGGAUUUCAUUGUUGUAACAUUUGUUUGCCCAAUGAUGAAUGAGGUUAAACAUCUUUUCACAUGUUUAUGCAUUAUUUGGAUGGCUUUUAUUUGAAGCACCUGCCCAAGUCUGUAGCCUAUCUUCUUAUCAGGUUAUUUAUCUUGAUAUUGUUGACCUGAGACAUCUUUUAUAAAUUUUUAAUAUUUGUUAUAUAUACAUAUAUGUGUGUGUGUAUACACAAACAUUUAACUAUAAUCUUUUCUUGAUUUUUUGCCUUUUCUAACCCUUAAUGAUGUCUUUUAAGAUAUAAAAUUUUAAUUAACUUUAAGUUCAAUUUGUCAAAUUAUCCUUUUCUUUUGUUAAUUUUUUGUAUUAUGUUACAAUCAACUGACUAUAUAUGUGUGGGUGUCCCUCUUUAUAUUCUAUUCUAUUGAUGAGUUUAUCUCUAUCUGUACCCAUACCUCACUGUUCAUUCACACUGUAAUUACAUGAAGAUGAAAUACUUAGUGUUCUAAGUUCUCCUGCAUCAUAAUUGUCUUUGUUAUUCUUUUUUUUGCAUUUUCAUGUAAGUUAGACAAUCCAUGUAUUCAUUUUCAUAAAAUAAACUACUGGAAAUUUGUUUUGAAUUGCACUAAAUCUAUGUAUCAGUUUUAAAACAACAUUUUUAAUAUUAACUCUUAAAAUCAUAUAGCUUAUUCCUAAUUAGUUUUUAAUUUCUCCCAAA
This 3851-nucleotide long non-coding RNA is filed under the name Homo sapiens (human). RNAcentral describes it as "HSALNT0041729". The record is from RNAcentral. Lineage: Eukaryota; Metazoa; Chordata; Mammalia; Primates; Hominidae.